RNA transcript from Haliotis rubra (blacklip abalone), 2129 nucleotides. It is a transcript of the gene named zinc finger protein 879-like, with no coding region annotated. The record is from RefSeq and is a predicted model, not a curated record. The transcript has 3 exons. Lineage: Eukaryota; Metazoa; Mollusca; Gastropoda; Lepetellida; Haliotidae.
GCUGUAAGCUGGUUCCUGUCUACCUUUGCGCAUCAUCAACUUGCGAUAUGAGAGACGGGACCCAGCUUAUCGGUGAGUUGUGCGGCGACCGGGUUGUGCGAACGUGGACUGAGAGCACACAGUAGCUGACAGAUGCCAAGGUUGCUCUAACCAUGAUGUCCAACUCUACCCCCACCACUGGAACAUGUACUUACAUCGAGGACAAAUGUUAGAUUGAGGAUAUGAAUUGCAUCUACAAUGGAAAAUAGUAUCUUCUCACUGGUCUGACAAACGCUAGAUGACCGUGUUUACAUCCUCAGAGAUGCAGGCUCCAAACGUCCCCACUACGGACAGUGCUGCAUGUUCACCAGCACCAUUGUGUAAUAUUGAUGCGGAGAAACAUAGUCCUCAAAAGAAGGAACACAAGUGUCACAAAUGUAUAGUGUGUUUGAAAGAGUUCAAACGCAACGUUAGCCUUAAAGAUCAUAUGUCCAUACACACGGGGGUGCUUACUACUAGAGUGAAGACAAAACAAGAACAUCGUCACAAAUGUAUGGUAUGUGAGAAAAGGUUCCGGUCGCCAUAUGCGAUGAAACAACAUAUGAAUGUACACACAGGAAUGUGUAACUAUGCAUGCAGAAUUUGUGGAAAGAAAUUUUUUCAGCGUAGGAAUUUGCAGAACCACAGUUUGACCCACUCCACCGACAGGCCACAUGAAUGCAAGCUGUGUACAAGUACAUUUAAGAGGCCACACCAUUUGGCGAAUCAUAUGUUUUGUGUACAUGAGAGAAAACAGAAAAUAAAAUAUAGUGAUUCCAAUAGAUACUACUUUCCAUAUGAUGGAAGUGACAUGAGACAUGCAAAUAAAAACCAUGUUGGAGAUAUCAACGGAACUGAUGAAAAGCCAUUCAAGUGUAAACUUUGUGAUGCACAAUUUAUACAAUGUUGGUCUCUCAGUGUCCAUGUCAACACUGUGCAUUUAGAUAAGAGACCGUAUUUAUGUAGCAUUUGUGGCAAAACAUUUAAAUCCAAUAGUGCAUUGCAGACUCAUUCUGUCAUUCAUAUGGAAGCAAGGAAAGUCAGUGCUGAAUGUAAUGUAUGUCAGAAGAUGGUGAAAAUAAACGCCAUGUAUAUUCACAUGAAAUCCCAUGAGGAGAAAAAGUUUUUGUGUAAUUUUUGUGGGAAAAGGUUUAGUUUGAAACACCAACUUAGCAAUCACGAGAAGAGCCACCUAGGACUGAAAGCACAUGCCUGUGAACUGUGUGACAGGAGAUUCACUCUCCCUCAUCAGCUGAGGGCCCACAGAAAGACCCACUCAGAAUCCAAGAAGGAGAAAUGACAAGGCUACCUCUUACUCCAAACUGCACAGAGAACCCUAUUUACAGUUGGCUUUCCAUACCUCCAUGUGUCCAUUGAUGCAGGAAUGCCAUAACCAUUACACCAGGAGACACAUUGUUUUUCUUCAAGGCUACAAUGAAUGCAUACUCCAUACCUCCAUUUGUCCAUUGUUGCAGUAAUGCCAUAACCAUUACACCAGGAGACACUUUGUUUUUCUUCAAGGCUACAAUGAAUGCAUACUCCAUACCUCCAUUUGUCCAUUGGUGGACAUACACAUUGUGCCAGAAGAGCCACCUCAUUUCUCUGCAUGGCUAUAAUGAAUACGUAUGGAAUGGUACCAGAUACAAACAUGACCAUGCCAGAUCAUGUCAUAUGAGUUCGGACAUGGCUACCAAAUCCACCAAAUAAAUCCAACAUGGGUCAUGCAACUGAUAAUACCAUGUAUUUGUUAUCUUUGUCAUUUCUGUGUUACCUCCCCUUCUAGUGACACAUAUUCUAAUGUGAAAAAGAUAAGCUCCCAAACUAUUUUAUUUUGUUAUUAUUCUAUCAGUUAUUUAUAAAAUUGUUUCAGCACAUUACUGUCGGUGAAUCGUAAAUAAUGUUUCACUGCAAAAUAACAAAUCAUUUUAAAGUGAUUUGAUGGUUGAUACAUUUAUGAGAGAGAAUAUAUAGAUGUCUUCUUUAUUAUAAGGAACACAACUUUUACAAUAUAUGCUUAUAUUUUUAUAGGUGUACAGUUGAACUGAAAAACUAUUAUUGACACUAGUAGUUAAUAGUACUUAUGUAUUAUGAAUAGUUUUUAGGAAACAUGU